CACUAUCGUUAACUGAAUACAUAGGUUAACGAGGCGAACCGGGGGAACUGAAACAUCUAAGUACCCCGAGGAAAAGAAAUCAACCGAGAUUCCCCCAGUAGCGGCGAGCGAACGGGGAGCAGCCCAGAGUCUGAAUCAGCUUGUGUGUUAGUGGAACGGUCUGGAAAGUCCGACGGUACAGGGUGAUAGUCCCGUACACCAAAAUGCACAGGCUGUGAACUCGAAGAGUAGGGCGGGACACGUGGUAUCCUGUCUGAAUAUGGGGGGACCAUCCUCCAAGGCUAAAUACUCCUGACUGACCGAUAGUGAACCAGUACCGUGAGGGAAAGGCGAAAAGAACCCCGGCGAGGGGAGUGAAAAAGAACCUGAAACCGUGUACGUACAAGCAGUGGGAGCACCUUCGGGUGUGACUGCGUACCUUUUGUAUAAUGGGUCAGCGACUUAUAUUCUGUAGCAAGGUUAACCGUAUAGGGGAGCCGCAGGGAAACCGAGUCUUAACUGGGCGUUAAGUUGCAGGGUAUAGACCCGAAACCCGGUGAUCUAGCCAUGGGCAGGUUGAAGGUUGGGUAACACUAACUGGAGGACCGAACCGACUAAUGUUGAAAAAUUAGCGGAUGACUUGUGGCUGGGGGUGAAAGGCCAAUCAAACCGGGAGAUAGCUGGUUCUCCCCGAAAGCUAUUUAGGUAGCGCCUCGUGAAUUCAUCUUCGGGGGUAGAGCACUGUUUCGGCUAGGGGGUCAUCCCGACUUACCAACCCGAUGCAAACUACGAAUACCGAAGAAUGUUAUCACGGGAGACACACGGCGGGUGCUAACGUCCGUCGUGAAGAGGGAAACAACCCAGACCGCCAGCUAAGGUCCCAAAGUCAUGGUUAAGUGGGAAACGAUGUGGGAAGGCACAGACAGCCAGGAUGUUGGCUUAGAAGCAGCCAUCAUUUAAAGAAAGCGUAAUAGCUCACUGGUCGAGUCGGCCUGCGCGGAAGAUGUAACGGGGCUAAACCAUGCACCGAAGCUGCGGCAGCGACACUAUGUGUUGUUGGGUAGGGGAGCGUUCUGUAAGCCUGCGAAGGUGACCUGUGAGGGUUGCUGGAGGUAUCAGAAGUGCGAAUGCUGACAUAAGUAACGAUAAAGCGGGUGAAAAGCCCGCUCGCCGGAAGACCAAGGGUUCCUGUCCAACGUUAAUCGGGGCAGGGUGAGUCGACCCCUAAGGCGAGGCCGAAAGGCGUAGUCGAUGGGAAACAGGUUAAUAUUCCUGUACUUGGUGUUACUGCGAAGGGGGGACGGAGAAGGCUAUGUUAGCCGGGCGACGGUUGUCCCGGUUUAAGCAUGUAGGCUGGUUGUCCAGGCAAAUCCGGAUAAUCAAGGCUGAGGUGUGAUGACGAGGUACNNNNNNNNNNNNNNNNNNNNNNNNNNNNNNNNNNNNNNNNNNNNNNNNNNNNNNNNNNNNNNNNNNNNNNNNNNNNNNNNNNNNNNNNNNNNNNNNCACUACGGUGCUGAAGUAACAAAUGCCCUGCUUCCAGGAAAAGCCUCUAAGCAUCAGGUAACAUCAAAUCGUACCCCAAACCGACACAGGUGGUCAGGUAGAGAAUACCAAGGCGCUUGAGAGAACUCGGGUGAAGGAACUAGGCAAAAUGGUGCCGUAACUUCGGGAGAAGGCACGCUGGUGUGUAGGUGAAGUCCCUGCGGAUGGAGCUGAGACCAGUCGAAGAUACCAGCUGGCUGCAACUGUUUAUUAAAAACACAGCACUGUGCAAACACGAAAGUGGACGUAUACGGUGUGACGCCUGCCCGGUGCCGGAAGGUUAAUUGAUGGGGUUAUCCGUAAGGAGAAGCUCUUGAUCGAAGCCCCGGUAAACGGCGGCCGUAACUAUAACGGUCCUAAGGUAGCGAAAUUCCUUGUCGGGUAAGUUCCGACCUGCACGAAUGGCGUAAUGAUGGCCAGGCUGUCUCCACCCGAGACUCAGUGAAAUUGAACUCGCUGUGAAGAUGCAGUGUACCCGCGGCAAGACGGAAAGACCCCGUGAACCUUUACUAUAGCUUGACACUGAACAUUGAGCCUUGAUGUGUAGGAUAGGUGGGAGGCUUUGAAGCGUGGACGCCAGUCUGCGUGGAGCCAACCUUGAAAUACCACCCUUUAAUGUUUGAUGUUCUAACGUUGGCCCCUGACCGGGGUUGCGGACAGUGUCUGGUGGGUAGUUUGACUGGGGCGGUCUCCUCCCAAAGCGUAACGGAGGAGCACGAAGGUUAGCUAAUCCUGGUCGGACAUCAGGAGGUUAGUGCAAUGGCAUAAGCUAGCUUGACUGCGAGCGUGACGGCGCGAGCAGGUGCGAAAGCAGGUCAUAGUGAUCCGGUGGUUCUGAAUGGAAGGGCCAUCGCUCAACGGAUAAAAGGUACUCCGGGGAUAACAGGCUGAUACCGCCCAAGAGUUCAUAUCGACGGCGGUGUUUGGCACCUCGAUGUCGGCUCAUCACAUCCUGGGGCUGAAGUAGGUCCCAAGGGUAUGGCUGUUCGCCAUUUAAAGUGGUACGCGAGCUGGGUUUAGAACGUCGUGAGACAGUUCGGUCCCUAUCUGCCGUGGGCGCUGGAGAAUUGAGGGGGGCUGCUCCUAGUACGAGAGGACCGGAGUGGACGCAUCACUGGUGUUCGGGUUGUCAUGCCAAUGGCACUGCCCGGUAGCUAAAUGCGGAAGAGAUAAGUGCUGAAAGCAUCUAAGCACGAAACUUGCCCCGAGAUGAGUUCUCCCUGAGACUUUAAGUCUCCUGAAGGAACGUU
RNAcentral lists this ribosomal RNA (2771 nucleotides) under Klebsiella pneumoniae. RNAcentral's name for it is "partial 23S ribosomal RNA". It matches the Rfam family "Bacterial large subunit ribosomal RNA". Lineage: Bacteria; Pseudomonadati; Pseudomonadota; Gammaproteobacteria; Enterobacterales; Enterobacteriaceae. The record is from RNAcentral.